AUGGAGAACCGAAAGAACACUGGCCUCAGGGUACUGCCACCUAACCCCGUCCUCACUUCUGUACUCUCCACUCUUUGUCUCAUUUUUUCUCCCCUUUUGCGCUACUGCGUUGUUGCACACAAGACAAAGCUUCCAAACGAUGGGAUGGUGCAGGAGCAGGAGCCUGCUAUCAAGGUGAUGUACCAAGCCCUGAAGGAGAUAGAAAGUGAGCUCCAGAACCUCCGGGACGACAACAACCAGCUCCAUGAUGAGCUCCUUGGGAAAGACCGACAGCUUGCGGAGACACGGACACUUCUAGUUGACAGGGAGCACAAGCUUUCGAACACCCAGGCACUUCUCGUUGACAGGGAGCAGCAGCUUGCGGCCCAGACACUUGUUGUUGACAGUCGCUCUCAGCACACGGCCACCUCGAGCAUACGGCGCCGGCAGGAGGCCGAGCGCGCCGUGGCAGAGGAGCGUGAGCGAGCAGCUGCAGCAGCAAGGGCGUCGAGGCUGGCUGCAGCGGAGCUGGCAGCAGCCAGAGCGGAGGUAGAAGCAGCCAGGGCGGAGGUAGAAGCAGCAACAGCAGCAGCAGAUUGCAGGGAGGAACUACAAACCUUCAAGGGCAUCGGAGAGAAGAGAGCAAGAAUGAUACUGGAACUUCGCGAGCUGUCCCCAGAGGUCUUUGCAUCAGUCAAGAAUGUCCUAGAUUCUAUUGAAAUGAAGAAGCCAGAGGUGUCCAAUAUGAUGUGGGACAUGAUGGUCGGGCCCUAG
RNAcentral lists this ribosomal RNA (753 nucleotides) under Triticum aestivum (bread wheat). RNAcentral describes it as "partial small subunit ribosomal RNA". The record is from RNAcentral. Lineage: Eukaryota; Viridiplantae; Streptophyta; Magnoliopsida; Poales; Poaceae.